This 411-nucleotide ribosomal RNA is filed under the name uncultured bacterium. RNAcentral's name for it is "bacterial SSU rRNA". It matches the Rfam family "Bacterial small subunit ribosomal RNA", at positions 187 to 579 of the family's 1533-position model. The record is from RNAcentral.
GGGGCACGGGGGGAGGAAAGCAGGGGAUCGCAAGACCUCGCGCUGAUGGAUGAGCCGAAGUCUGAUUAGCUAGUUGGUAGGGUAACAGCCCACCAAGGCGACGAUCAGUAGCUGGUCUGAGAGGACGACCAGCCACACUGGGACUGAGACACGGCCCAGACUCCUACGGGAGGCAGCAGUGGGGAAUAUUGGACAAUGGGGGCAACCCUGAUCCAGCCAUGCCGCGUGUGGGAAGAAGGCCUUCGGGUUGUAAACCACUUUUGUCAGGGAAGAAAUUGGCCAGGUUAAUACCUUGGCUAGAUGACGGUACCUGGAGAAUAAGCACCGGCUAACUACGUGCCAGCAGCCGCGGUAAUACGUAGGGUGCAAGCGUUAAUCGGAAUUACUGGGCGUAAAGCGUGCGCAGGCGGU